RNAcentral lists this ribosomal RNA (820 nucleotides) under uncultured Anaerovibrio sp. Its description in RNAcentral is "bacterial SSU rRNA". It matches the Rfam family "Bacterial small subunit ribosomal RNA", at positions 38 to 843 of the family's 1533-position model. The record is from RNAcentral. Lineage: Bacteria; Bacillati; Bacillota; Negativicutes; Selenomonadales; Selenomonadaceae.
CGUGGGGCUGCUUACCAUGCAAGUCGAACGGAGAUUCAGCAAUGGAUCUUAGUGGCGAACGGGUGAGUAACGCGUAGGCAAUCUGCCUUCUAGAUGGGGACAACAUCCCGAAAGGGGUGCUAAUACCGAAUGUUGUAAUUGGUUCGCAUGGACUAGCUACUAAAGGUGGCCUCUGAAUAUGCUACCGCUAGAAGAUGAGCCUGCGUCUGAUUAGCUAGUUGGAGGGGUAACGGCCCACCAAGGCUUCGAUCAGUAGCCGGUCUGAGAGGAUGAACGGCCACACUGGGACUGAGACACGGCCCAGACUCCUACGGGAGGCAGCAGUGGGGAAUCUUCCGCAAUGGACGAAAGUCUGACGGAGCAACGCCGCGUGAGUGAAGAAGGUUUUCGGAUCGUAAAGCUCUUUCGUUAGGGACGAACGUGCUCUUUGUGAAUAAUGAGGAGUAAUGACGGUACCUAAAUAAGAAGCCACGGCUAACUACGUGCCAGCAGCCGCGGUAAUACGUAGGUGGCAAGCGUUGUCCGGAAUUAUUGGGCGUAAAGCGCGCGCAGGCGGGAUAUCAAGUCUGUCUUAAAAGUGCGAGGCUCAACCUCGUGAGGGGACGGAAACUGGUAUUCUUGAGUGUCGGAGAGGAAAGUGGAAUUCCAAGUGUAGCGGUGAAAUGCGUAGAGAUUUGGAAGAACACCAGUGGCGAAGGCGACUUUCUGGACGAUGUCUGACGCUGAGGCGCGAAAGCUAGGGGAGCGAACGGGAUUAGAUACCCCGGUAGUCCUAGCCGUAAACGAUGGGUACUAUGUGUAGGGGUAUCGACCCCUCCUG